RNAcentral lists this long non-coding RNA (369 nucleotides) under Nicotiana tabacum (common tobacco). RNAcentral describes it as "long non-coding RNA (NTAB_LNC015903)". Lineage: Eukaryota; Viridiplantae; Streptophyta; Magnoliopsida; Solanales; Solanaceae. The record is from RNAcentral.
GUGAGACACACGUAUAUUAUGUUGACCAAAGAGAAGAUAUCUAAAACUUACAUAAGUGCUGGUGAAUGAUUGAACUUAGCAGGGAGAGGAGCUCGGUAAGGUGGAAAUGGUGUUGGGACCAUUUCCGUUUGCUUACUAGUUGACAUGACCACCACAGAAACUAAUGCCGAAGCAAAUACUAACAACCUCAACACCACAUCCGCCACCGCAAAGUAGUCGGUGGGAGCCGUCGUCGGUGGCAGAGCCGCCUUUUCUGGCUCUGCCACCGAUGCCUCUGCAGGUGCAACAACCUUUUCGGGUUCAGUAGCCAUGGGUGCACUACAGUUCUACUAGAGGUGCCAAAUUGUUUUGAAUGAUAAUUAAGUUAGU